Long non-coding RNA from Hypanus sabinus (Atlantic stingray), 357 nucleotides. RefSeq lists it as uncharacterized. The record is from RefSeq and is a predicted model, not a curated record. The transcript has 4 exons. Lineage: Eukaryota; Metazoa; Chordata; Chondrichthyes; Myliobatiformes; Dasyatidae.
GGCAGGAUUCCUGGCAGUGUGGAGGAACAGAGGGACCUUGGGGUUCACGGUCCAAAGAUCCCUCAAAUUGCAGUGCAUGUUGAAAAGGAAAAACUGAGACACCUCCUUCUCCCUUAUUAGGAAGAGAGAGAGCCUGUGAUAUGUCAAGCGCCAGGUGAAACGCAAAGUCUUUGAGUCGCAAUGGCCUACUGAAGGAAUGGCUCAAUGAAAAUGAUUUACCGUAUGCAGAUAAAAUUCCACUACGGUGAUGGUGCAUAUACACUCAGUGGCCUGUCGGGAGCCAACCAAAGAACACUGUGAUUUGAAUUAUUGCUGCCAGAACACUGGUCUGGGCACUCAGGAUAUUUUUCCAGCAAG